CCUACGGGAGGCUGCAGUGAGGAAUAUUGGUCAAUGGGCGGAAGCCUGAACCAGCCAAGUAGCGUGCGGGAUGAAGGCCCUACGGGUCGUAAACCGCUUUUGCACGGGGAUAACACCCUCCACUUGUGGAGGUCUGCAGGUACCGUGCGAAUAAGGGCCGGCUAAUUCCGUGCCAGCAGCCGCGGUAAUACGGAAGGCCCGAGCGUUAUCCGGAUUCAUUGGGCUUAAAGGGAGCGUAGGCGGGCGUUCAAGUCAGCUGUAAAAUCGCGCGGCUCAACCGCGCCCCGCAGUUGAAACUGGACGCAUUGAGUGCACAACAGGCAGGCGGAAUUCGUGGUGUAGCGGUGAAAUGCAUAGAUAUCACGAGGAACCCCGAUUGCGAAGGCAGCCUGCCGGGGUGCGACUGACGCUGAGGCUCGAAGGUGCGGGUAUCAAACAGGAUUAGAUACCCCAGUAGUC
This 459-nucleotide ribosomal RNA is filed under the name uncultured bacterium. Its description in RNAcentral is "partial 16S ribosomal RNA". It matches the Rfam family "Bacterial small subunit ribosomal RNA", at positions 338 to 795 of the family's 1533-position model. The record is from RNAcentral.